This 461-nucleotide ribosomal RNA is filed under the name uncultured bacterium. Its description in RNAcentral is "partial 16S ribosomal RNA". It matches the Rfam family "Bacterial small subunit ribosomal RNA", at positions 28 to 506 of the family's 1533-position model. The record is from RNAcentral.
GACGAACGCUGGCGGCGUGCUUAACACAUGCAAGUCGAACGGAAAGGCCCUUCGGGGUUCUCGAGUGGCGAACGGGUGAGUAACACGUGGGUGAUCUGCCCUGCACUUUGGGAUAAGCCUGGGAAACUGGGUCUAAUACCGAAUAGGACCACGCGCUUCAUGGUGUGUGGUGGAAAGCUUUUGCGGUGUGGGAUGGGCCCGCGGCCUAUCAGCUUGUUGGUGGGGUAAUGGCCUACCAAGGCGACGACGGGUAGCCGGCCUGAGAGGGUGACCGGCCACACUGGGACUGGGAUACGGCCCAGACUCCUACGGGAGGAAGCGGUGGGGAAUAUUGCACAAUGGGCGAAAGCCUGAUGCAGCGACGCCGCGUGAGGGAUGACGGCCUUCGGGUUGUAAACCUCUUUCAAUAGGGACGAAGCGCAAGUGACGGUACCUAUAGAAGAAGCACCGGCCAACUACGU